CCCUUAGAUGUCCUGGGCUGCACGCGCGCUACACUGACACAUUCAGCGAGUAUUCCUGGCUCGAGAGAGUUGGGUAAUCUGUUGAAAGUGUGUCGUGAUGGGGAUAGAUUAUUGCAAUUAUUAAUCUUCAACGAGGAAUGCCUAGUAAGCGCAGGUCAUUAGCCUGCGCUGAUUACGUCCCUGCCCUUUGUACACACCGCCCGUCGCUACUACCGAUUUCGAGUGGUCCGGUGAAGCUUUUGGACUGCGCGUGGCUUCGUGCCGUGUCGCGGAAAGUCAGCUAAACCUUAUCACUUAGAGGAAGUAAAAGUCGUAACA
This 318-nucleotide ribosomal RNA is filed under the name uncultured eukaryote. RNAcentral describes it as "partial 18S ribosomal RNA". It matches the Rfam family "Eukaryotic small subunit ribosomal RNA", at positions 1470 to 1796 of the family's 1831-position model. The record is from RNAcentral.